Daphnia pulicaria is the source of this 1281-nucleotide long non-coding RNA. RefSeq lists it as uncharacterized. The transcript is spliced from 3 exons. NCBI's taxonomy places the organism in Eukaryota, Metazoa, Arthropoda, Branchiopoda, Diplostraca, Daphniidae. The record is from RefSeq and is a predicted model, not a curated record.
UCCCUCAAGGAUUCUAUCUUCAUUUGCAGGGGUCAAAUUACAGCCCAUUUUUCUAUGAGAAAGGCAGAAAGGGAGAGGUCACCCUGUUAUGCCCUUGUAAUACCUUCGACAAUUACAUUUUUCGUCAUUCGCCAGCUGAAACUUCUAUUUUCUCGCUCUUCGCUCAUUCUCUGAUUGGAAGACAGACGCUGAAAAUUUCGGGAUGACUAUACCCUUCCCGAUUUUUCCAAGAUUCCUUUCCUUAACGCUGGCCAUAUUAAUGCGGUCUUCCAGAUACGUCUAUACCUGAUGUUCUGGAUCGACAACUCGAUCGCUACUUGAUCGCCAUCAGACAGAAGAGAGACGCUACCGGUCUUGUUUGCUUGGCGAUCGCCCUUCUGCUGAUUGAGAAUCGAGACAAAUUGCCCGGACUUUCCAUCCGGGCGGACUCACCUGAUCAACCGCAAUUUAAUGUUCCAGCUGUAGGAAAUGCCCCGGAGAUCACUGUCGAAUUCAAUGCGUCCGCAUUUGAAGAAAUUCCAGCAACUUAAGGUGUAGCCCGGAAGCAUUUCUAUUCCUCGGUCUUACAAAUCUAUCCUGUCGCCUGGAAGUGGAUUGUCCAGCUGACAGCUUGCUGUCAAGUUCAUUUUCUGAAGGACACGGAUGUGGCUAAUUACUUCAACCAGUUUCCAGAUUUCAAGAAGAUCAUUUCGUUCAACGGCCAUGAAGUGGAUAGGAACGCUGUUUAUCGAUACAUCAAAUUUACUGCGCCAGGGAUCAAAUGGCCGAAAUCACAAAAACUUGUGGCUAACGACGAAAUUCGUUCCACCUUCCUGAGCGAUUCUUCCUUUGUUAAACAGCGAACGACCUUUUCGGCCACUGCUUUGCCGACAACUUAUCGAUGGGCUCGGGUGUCACGUCGGCCAGUUCGAAAUCGACGCAGAAAUGAUUGAGGCUGUUGAUCAAUCGUUGAUCAACUACUGGGACAAGAGUUGUAAUGAGAGAAUUCCGGAUAAACUCAGAGCUAUGGCAGCUGCUUACGCUCAGUUUCGCGGAAGGGACUACGGGAACUGGAUACAAGGAAAGAGGGCCCUAUCUCGGACCCUUCUUGUAUAUGUCGAUAUCUGGAAAGACAUAUUCCGAAGAUUGCUAAAAUGAAAUGUGGUAAUUGUUGAUUUACGUCGGGAGCUCUUGGUCUUUUAAUUUUCUCAACAGUUCCUCAAUCCUCACUGAAGAUGCAAACAUUAUCUGAAUAAAGUGAAUAGAUUGUAGAUCAUUUCUUGAUAAUCCCAAUAAAAAUGC